This 403-nucleotide long non-coding RNA is filed under the name Helianthus annuus (common sunflower). RNAcentral describes it as "sRNA HanXRQr2_Chr09g0397961". The record is from RNAcentral. Lineage: Eukaryota; Viridiplantae; Streptophyta; Magnoliopsida; Asterales; Asteraceae.
UUGUUAUUUGCACCUUUGUUCUUGUAAAGCUCAGGAUGGUCUGUAAUUCAUCCAUUAAUGUCGUUAGACCAUAUAAAAAGAUAUAACAGAUGUGUGAACAUUUCAACAAGACAUUCCUCUCCUAAGUUUUUCCGCAUAGUCCUUGCCACGUUGGAAAUAGUCAGCACUAUAACUUGAAGGUAUGGUAGAUUUGGUUUUGGCCCGGCCCAUUAGCCUCUUUUCCUGCAGAAGCUUUUUGGCAGCCUCUGUUUCCUCUAUAUUUUUCAGCUUAAAUCUGCAAGUGCUCUGGAAUUUUGUAUAAUUCAUCCUCUGCGUGUUUUAUAUCGUUUUCAACUUGAUCUGUCACGUCAAUAUUCUUCCCUUUUUUCUUCGCCAACUCUUGCUCAAUAUAUUUUAACCUGCG